CCUACGGGCGGCUGCAGUGGGGAAUAUUGGACAAUGGGGGCAACCCUGAUCCAGCCAUGCCGUGUGUGUGAAGAAGGCCCUCGGGUUGUAAAGCACUUUCAGUGAGGAAGAACGCCUGGUGGUUAAUACCCAUCAGGAAAGACAUCACUCACAGAAGAAGCACCGGCUAACUCCGUGCCAGCAGCCGCGGUAAUACGGAGGGUGCGAGCGUUAAUCGGAAUUACUGGGCGUAAAGCGCGCGUAGGUGGCUUGAUAAGCCGGUUGUGAAAGCCCCGGGCUCAACCUGGGAACGGCAUCCGGAACUGUCAAGCUAGAGUGCAGGAGAGGAAGGUAGAAUUUCCGGUGUAGCGGUGAAAUGCGUAGAGAUCGGGAGGAAUACCAGUGGCGAAGGCGGCCUUCUGGACUGACACUGACACUGAGGUGCGAAAGCGUGGGUAGCAAACAGGAUUAGAUACCCGAGUAGUC
This 465-nucleotide ribosomal RNA is filed under the name Vreelandella stevensii. RNAcentral's name for it is "partial 16S ribosomal RNA". It matches the Rfam family "Bacterial small subunit ribosomal RNA", at positions 338 to 795 of the family's 1533-position model. The record is from RNAcentral. Lineage: Bacteria; Pseudomonadati; Pseudomonadota; Gammaproteobacteria; Oceanospirillales; Halomonadaceae.